GGUUAAGCGACUAAGCGUACACGGUGGAUGCCCUGGCAGUCAGAGGCGAUGAAGGGCGUGCUAAUCUGCGAUAAGCGCCGGUAAGGUGAUAUGAACCGUUAUAACCGGCGAUACCCGAAUGGGGAAACCCAGUGUGACUCGUCACACUAUCAUUAACUGAAUCCAUAGGUUAAUGAGGCGAACCGGGGGAACUGAAACAUCUAAGUACCCCGAGGAAAAGAAAUCAACCGAGAUUCCCCCAGUAGCGGCGAGCGAACGGGGAGGAGCCCAGAGCCUGAAUCAGCAUGUGUGUUAGUGGAAGCGUCUGGAAAGGCGCGCGAUACAGGGUGACAGCCCCGUACACAAAAGCGCAUGUGCUGUGAGCUCGAUGAGUAGGGCGGGACACGUGGUAUCCUGUCUGAAUAUGGGGGGACCAUCCUCCAAGGCUAAAUACUCCUGACUGACCGAUAGUGAACCAGUACCGUGAGGGAAAGGCGAAAAGAACCCCGGCGAGGGGAGUGAAAAAGAACCUGAAACCGUGUACGUACAAGCAGUGGGAGCACAGGUUUACCUGUGUGACUGCGUACCUUUUGUAUAAUGGGUCAGCGACUUAUAUUCUGUAGCAAGGUUAACCGUAUAGGGGAGCCGUAGGGAAACCGAGUCUUAACCGGGCGUUAAGUUGCAGGGUAUAGACCCGAAACCCGGUGAUCUAGCCAUGGGCAGGUUGAAGGUUGGGUAACACUAACUGGAGGACCGAACCGACUAAUGUUGAAAAAUUAGCGGAUGACCUGUGGCUGGGGGUGAAAGGCCAAUCAAACCGGGAGAUAGCUGGUUCUCCCCGAAAGCUAUUUAGGUAGCGCCUCGUGAAUUCAUCUCCGGGGGUAGAGCACUGUUUCGGCUAGGGGGCCAUCCCGGCUUACCAACCCGAUGCAAACUGCGAAUACCGGAGAAUGUUAUCACGGGAGACACACGGCGGGUGCUAACGUCCGUCGUGAAGAGGGAAACAACCCAGACCGCCAGCUAAGGUCCCAAAGUCAUGGUUAAGUGGGAAACGAUGUGGGAAGGCCCAGACAGCCAGGAUGUUGGCUUAGAAGCAGCCAUCAUUUAAAGAAAGCGUAAUAGCUCACUGGUCGAGUCGGCCUGCGCGGAAGAUGUAACGGGGCUAAACCAUGCACCGAAGCUGCGGCAGCGACGCUGAUGCGUUGUUGGGUAGGGGAGCGUUCUGUAAGCCUGCGAAGGUGGCCUGUGAGGGUUGCUGGAGGUAUCAGAAGUGCGAAUGCUGACAUAAGUAACGAUAAAGCGGGUGAAAAGCCCGCUCGCCGGAAGACCAAGGGUUCCUGUCCAACGUUAAUCGGGGCAGGGUGAGUCGACCCCUAAGGCGAGGCCGAAAGGCGUAGUCGAUGGGAAACGGGUUAAUAUUCCCGUACUUGGUGUUACUGCGAAGGGGGGACGGAGAAGGCUAUGUUGGCCGGGCGACGGUUGUCCCGGUUUAAGCGUGUAGGUGUGUGUUCCAGGUAAAUCCGGUUCACUUUAACACUGAGGCGUGACGACGAGGCACUACGGUGCUGAAGCAACAAAUGCCCUGCUUCCAGGAAAAGCCUCUAAGCAUCAGGUAACACGAAAUCGUACCCCAAACCGACACAGGUGGUCAGGUAGAGAAUACCAAGGCGCUUGAGAGAACUCGGGUGAAGGAACUAGGCAAAAUGGUGCCGUAACUUCGGGAGAAGGCACGCUGACACGUAGGUGAAGUGAUUUACUCAUGGAGCUGAAGUCAGUCGAAGAUACCAGCUGGCUGCAACUGUUUAUUAAAAACACAGCACUGUGCAAACACGAAAGUGGACGUAUACGGUGUGACGCCUGCCCGGUGCCGGAAGGUUAAUUGAUGGGGUCAGCGCAAGCGAAGCUCCUGAUCGAAGCCCCGGUAAACGGCGGCCGUAACUAUAACGGUCCUAAGGUAGCGAAAUUCCUUGUCGGGUAAGUUCCGACCUGCACGAAUGGCGUAAUGAUGGCCAGGCUGUCUCCACCCGAGACUCAGUGAAAUUGAACUCGCUGUGAAGAUGCAGUGUACCCGCGGCAAGACGGAAAGACCCCGUGAACCUUUACUAUAGCUUGACACUGAACAUUGAGCCUUGAUGUGUAG
This 2119-nucleotide ribosomal RNA is filed under the name Salmonella enterica. RNAcentral's name for it is "partial 23S ribosomal RNA". It matches the Rfam family "Bacterial large subunit ribosomal RNA", at positions 1 to 2141 of the family's 2925-position model. RNAcentral also lists the same sequence under 1 other name. The record is from RNAcentral. Lineage: Bacteria; Pseudomonadati; Pseudomonadota; Gammaproteobacteria; Enterobacterales; Enterobacteriaceae.